Molecule: small nuclear RNA, 105 nt
Organism: Jaculus jaculus (lesser Egyptian jerboa)
Lineage: Eukaryota; Metazoa; Chordata; Mammalia; Rodentia; Dipodidae
Source: RefSeq, a predicted model, not a curated record
GUGCUCGCUUCAACAGCACAUAUACUAAAAUUGGAAUGAUACAGAGAUUAGCAUGGGCCCUGUGCAAGGAUGACUUUGCAAAUUUGUGAAGCAUUCCAUAAUUUU